GGGAAGCGCGCAGGGCUCAUAACCCUGAGGUCGUAGGAUCGAAACCUACAGACGCUA
Molecule: transfer RNA, 57 nt
Filed under: Allomyces macrogynus ATCC 38327
Lineage: Eukaryota; Fungi; Blastocladiomycota; Blastocladiomycetes; Blastocladiales; Blastocladiaceae
Description: tRNA-Met
Rfam family: tRNA
About the family: Transfer RNA (tRNA) molecules are approximately 80 nucleotides in length. Their secondary structure includes four short double-helical elements and three loops (D, anti-codon, and T loops).
Source: RNAcentral